RNAcentral lists this ribosomal RNA (517 nucleotides) under Fusarium acuminatum. RNAcentral's name for it is "eukaryotic LSU rRNA". The stretch from base 155 to 308 matches the Rfam family "5.8S ribosomal RNA". The record is from RNAcentral. RNAcentral also lists the same sequence under 1 other name. Lineage: Eukaryota; Fungi; Ascomycota; Sordariomycetes; Hypocreales; Nectriaceae.
UUACCGAGUUUACAACUCCCAAACCCCUGUGAACAUACCUUAAUGUUGCCUCGGCGGAUCAGCCCGCGCCCCGUAAAACGGGACGGCCCGCCAGAGGACCCAAACUCUAAUGUUUCUUAUUGUAACUUCUGAGUAAAACAAACAAAUAAAUCAAAACUUUCAACAACGGAUCUCUUGGUUCUGGCAUCGAUGAAGAACGCAGCAAAAUGCGAUAAGUAAUGUGAAUUGCAGAAUUCAGUGAAUCAUCGAAUCUUUGAACGCACAUUGCGCCCGCUGGUAUUCCGGCGGGCAUGCCUGUUCGAGCGUCAUUUCAACCCUCAAGCCCCCGGGUUUGGUGUUGGGGAUCGGCUCUGCCCUUCUGGGCGGUGCCGCCCCCGAAAUACAUUGGCGGUCUCGCUGCAGCCUCCAUUGCGUAGUAGCUAACACCUCGCAACUGGAACGCGGCGCGGCCAUGCCGUAAAACCCCAACUUCUGAAUGUUGACCUCGGAUCAGGUAGGAAUACCCGCUGAACUUAAG